UCGGGAAUUUUGGGCAAUGGGCGAAAGCCUGACCCAGCAACGCCGCGUGAAGGAUGAAGUAUUUCGGUAUGUAAACUUCGAAAGAAUAGGAAGAAUAAAUGACGGUACUAUUUAUAAGGUCCGGCUAACUACGUGCCAGCAGCCGCGGUAAUACGUAGGGACCAAGCGUUGUUCGGAUUUACUGGGCGUAAAGGGCGCGUAGGCGGCAAUUCAAGUCAUCUGUGAAAUCUCCGGGCUUAACUCGGAACGGUCAGAUGAUACUGCUUUGCUAGAGUGCAGAAGGGGCAAUCGGAAUUCUUGGUGUAGCGGUGAAAUGCGUAGAUAUCAAGAGGAACACCUGAGGUGAAGACGGGUUAGCUGGGCUGACACUGACGCUGAGGCGCGAAAGCC
RNAcentral lists this ribosomal RNA (390 nucleotides) under uncultured bacterium. RNAcentral's name for it is "bacterial SSU rRNA". It matches the Rfam family "Bacterial small subunit ribosomal RNA", at positions 355 to 761 of the family's 1533-position model. The record is from RNAcentral.